CGCCGGGCCUGGUAACGUGGGCUUGUGACUCAAGUGAGGGCAUGAAGGUGGUUGAAGGUUGGUUUGGCUGGAGAGGUAGGGUGCGCUGGGGUUGAGACACUGGCUCGCCCGUUCCAAGUGGGGAGUUUGAAUCUUGUGAUCCGACCGAAGGGUUGGGUGACGUGGUUCCUAGAGUGGAGGGCACCGCGUGAGGCUGGAUUCACAGAGCAGCGUUCACCUCCCGCUCCCUUCGGUGGAAGGAUAACGUGCUGGUACUCCACGGGCCCAACGACGCCUCCUCAGCCGCUCACAACCCGACAACCACUUUUUCCCUCUUUUUAUUUUUCCUUCAUUCCAGCCAGUGGUGGAACAAUUGACAUUCAGAGUGAAAUAUCAUGGAAGAGAAGGCUUCACCAGAAUCCUAUAGAUUGUUGUGAUGACUUGAAGCAAAGAAGCUCCAAGCAAAUUGCCUCAACGUGGAGCUCUCUUUUCUCUUUCUGCUGUGAUCAAUCACAAUCCACAUGCGAAAUUUCCCAGGUCUGCAUGGGGCUGAAUGUUGGUGGACUGAGAGGUGGGCACUGUGACAAGAAUGGAUGCAAAAGCUUUGGCUACAUUAAGGGGGAAAAAAAAUAAAGCAAGGGCCUAGGAUAUUGCCAUCAUCUGUCACAGCUGCUUAUGGCACCUUCUUCAGAAGGAUCACUUGUUUUUAGCUGAUUGAGGUAACUAUAUGACUCAUCUCUGUAAGCUUUGUGGGAAUGCUGGUUGCUAUCCUUCUUUUAUGUAAUUUCUACUCCAGUUUUGCAAUUGGAGACAAGGCUUCAGAUUAGAAGUAAUGGGAGCUUUUAUGUGAAUUUUGGAUUUGAUGCCAUGGAAAAGCUGAAUUAAUUUUAUAAAGACCCUACUGUGUAGAGAAAGAUAAACUCUACUGUCUAACCAACCUUGUACACUGUACACUGUAAUGUAAUGCUUCAGUAAUCAUGUGUUGUCUCCUGGUCUUACUGUUAUAUCGAGGUCCACUAAUUAUUUCUUAAUUGCUUGAUAUAUGGACAUGGACUGGAACGCCUCGUCCUACUGUCUAGUUACUUAAUGAGGUGAAUAAUUAUUUCUUCCUCAAGAGAGACAAUGUUUUGAGGGAUAUAUAAAAUAAGAAAAGAACUUUCCAGUACAUUAUGCCAAAUGUUGAUUUAGAAAACAAAAGGACUAUUUCAAAAUUGAAUGUAAAUUCACCAGCCUAUUUGACUUCCAUGGGGUAUGCAAAUGCCCUGUUAAUGGAUGGAACAUAUACGUGCUUUUGAUGCAUUUAUGUUGCUGAAGUAGUAAGAUAAUUUGAAUGCUCAUUUGGUAUGUCUACACAUCGUAAUCAGAAACAAGAGAUAAUUCUUGUUCAAACUUCAUGGCUAACAAGUGCUUCUCGACCUACUCUUCUUUCAUUCCUGCACCUAAUGAGUUGAAGAAAAUUUAUUGUAUGGUUUGAAGUGUAUGCAGAGAAGCUUUGUGAGAUCAAAAUAAGGAAUGGCAGGAAGCAAACUUAUUGGAACAUGUUUUUUCCACGAAGAUGAUUUUCACACUGAGAGUUGGUUUUGUGUGCAUGAGUUCACCUCUUGCUUGAUAUUUGAUGGUGAGGUUGGAUCUAAGCAUGUUGAGAGGGUACAAUGUUUGAGAUGGUUCAUGUCAAAGGGCAUUUCAGAGUGUGAGAAUACUCAAAUUUGAAAUGUUUGUUUGGAAUGUGUUGAUAGAUUGAAGGGAUUAUUUGAAAUCCACAAGGGAAAACAAAAAUCAUCCCAUAUACUUUUUCAAGCUUUAUGGAUGAGUCAAUUCCUAUGCAUGUAUAAGAUCCUUCCAGGGUUUGAAAAUGUACCAAUUUUCUGUUAUGGUUCCUGUUUUGUCCCAUUUUCAUAGGAUGAGUUCGUGGAUUUAAAUAUUUUCAAAUGCAAAGUAACCAUGUGGCUUGAAUUCACAGGUUUCCAACUUAGUUGGGGAUGUGGCAGUUCUCUUGCUGAUUUAUCUUCUGGGGCAUGUCAAUGAGUAAAGGGUUGUUUGGUAAGUCUUGUAUGGUAUGGGAUGGAGCCUUCUCUAUCUGACAUCUUUGUUGCUUUGAUCUCUGUUCUAUUGAAGGCAUGGUCUUUUCUGGAGGCAUGAACAAGCAGCUAUAGAUGUCCUGAUGGAAGCUUAUACCCUUGUACUCUCGGGAAGGAAAUAUUCUCUAUCAGGUUAUAUCAAACUCAUUAAGUCCAUUAUCCAUUUUCUUGAGGCAUGAACUGAAUUUUUUUUUCUUUUAAAGCUAAUUUUGGUUGCAAUUCUGUGCAUAGUAUUUGGAACAACCUCCUUGAGAGCUCUUCAUUUAGUUGAAGGCUUCCCUUUGUGGCAUUGCUGCUUUAUGCCUACUAGAAAUAUUUAGGCAUCAUUAAACUAUCAUCUGAAUAGUUUCACUUAGUGUGAUUCAAAAUAUGAUUCUCUUUCUUGUGUUUAUCUGUUCUAUGCAGAAGAGUCUUUGCUCUGUCCUAAAAGAAGGCCAUUCAACCAUUCUUGAGAUGAAACUAGCCAGAAAUUAGGUAUUGGCCAUUUAUAAAAAAACUGAAACAAUUGUCUAUGAAUUAGGUGCAAAGAAAAAAAAAAGCACAAUUGCAAUGCUUUCUUAAAGAGGAAAAAAAAUGUAGCGCGUUCCAAAAUGUGAAAAAAAUCAUAAGGUAAAAUUCCAAUUUCAAUGUUGAGUCCCAACACCUCAAAAAUAGGUCCAUGCUUGAAAGUUGCAGCAUGUUGCGCUAAGAAAUAGAGCAGCAAGAAGGUUUACUUUGAAUUUAUAUGAAAUAUGUUUGCAUAAAUUAAGGACACAGGCUGAGAAACCUCUUGGUUUUUGAAUUCUGUUGAUGAAUUCCUUACACCAAAACCUUUAGAUUGACAUAAGGACCUGCUUAUGCAGUUACUAGAUUUAUAUCUUGCAACCCUUAUGGUCAUCACCACCUAAGAAAGCUUGCCCUGGACUUUUAUAUUUUGAUCUUGUCACCUAAGCUCAGAGAGAAUUGGCUGAAACUGUGACAUCUUAUAGAAGCUAUGCAGGUAAAAUCUUUGCCCUUUCCUCAUCAAACAGUAAGUUGACCUGAAUCUAUUCCAACUGGUUACCAGUUCCAAGUGCCAUCUGUACAUAUCAUGCAGUCGAGAGGGUAAUGACAUGUUUAGCUUGUUAUCUAUGCAAUAUAAUCUAUAUAAACUAUCCAUAAUCGUCACUAAAAGUAAGUUUUAAAGAAGGGCAAAAACUUUGGAUCUAGUGGUGCAACUUGUGUGUGUGUGAAAGCUACAGCCAGUAUGUAUUCCAAGUCCAAUUUAUGUCUUCUAGCUAGUGUUUAAUGCAUAGUGACAAAUACUGCUCAAGAAGGAUGCGGACAGAAGGAGGAAGAGAAGGAAAGCAAGUUAUGAAUGCAAUGACUUUCCAUGAAUUACUUGCAUGAUUUCUAACUUUCACUAUCAAAAUCAAAAUAAAAGAAUAUACAAGGGAUCAAAAUGAGGGGAUUGGAAGAAAUCUGCUAUCUCCCGGCAAGUAGGGAUAUCAUGAGUUGCAUGCCUGCUACCCAGCAUGUCUGCACUCCUAGGGAUUAUUUGCUCCAGAAACUUAAACCAAUAGGAAUAAGUCAAUGCUAUAAAUCAGACAACCUAAUACUUAACACUGUUUAACUUGCGACCUUUCUGUCUACCCCAUGAGCUUCAGCUUUGAUGCUACAUCAAAUUUUCAUUUAUCCCAAAAUAUCAAGUUAUUUAAGAAUAGAUGAUAUCCAACUGAGACACAGCAAUUAAUCAUGUUUUUCUAUUGUCCUUUUUUUCAGAGAAUUUACCCAAAACCUUGGGAGGCUGUUGAGUGUGAUUUGAUCAGGCAAGGAGCAUACUUUUUAUGCGUGUUCAUGUGUUACAAAUGCACAAAUCUUUUCACCAAAAAGUUUGGGAAAACUCAAAGUGCAUAAUCUAAACCAUAGAGUAUAAGUACUAGUUUUUCUGAUCUCAAAAUCUCUAGUAAUUUCUUUGCUGAUAAUAUGAUUUUAGUGCGAUUGUUCAAAAUUCUCACUGCUCACAACCGCCCCGCCCCGCCCCACCCCCCCCCCCGGGUUCCUAAAAAGGAGAGGCUUAUGUAGCUUUGCUUGAAAAGAACUAGAGAAUGUUGGAAAGUUGAUCUACAAAAUAGAGUGGACACCCCCUCUUGCUCAACUUGCUGGGUCACAGUCACCAAUGAAGAAAGUACUGGAUCUGGAUCCACUAUUAACAUGAUUGGGACGAUCACUGCCCAUCAGAGCCAAAAGAUUUGUUACAGCACCUUCAUAGUUUUACUUAGGCUUUUAGCUUGGGAAACAUUAUGUUUCACCUGAGUGUUUUUAGUCCAUUCAAUUCCAUUCAUUUUCUUGGUGCAAUAAAUGCUUUCCAUUGUUAUGCUUUCUUUGUCUGCAAAAGGGUGUAAGAACCCUAUGUGUAUGGCUAUGGAGCCAUUCAAUCAGUUCCAUUAACACCCCCAAAGAGUCUUGAACUCUCAAUAGUAGUCAUCAUUCUCAGUUACCGUCGCCCUUUUAGUACAACAGUUUAGUGAAAGCCAUUGUUUCAUUAUCUCAAUCUUGGUUCUUUGAUAGGGAAGAACCAAGGCAAAGAAGGUUGCCUUUGUUGGGCUAAAGAGGUCUCCAUGAUCUCAACCUUACCUCCAAUGAAUGUUGCAACCAGAUAUUGAUGUGAGCAAAAGGCAAUUUUACAUUGAAAACCUCUUAGAAAAAAAUAACCACCAGAAGCUCUCUCAAAAUCAACAACCAAAGGUGGCUUUCUUCUGUCGUUCCCUCUUAGAUCUGGAUGUGUGCUAUGUGCAGAUGUGGGGCUUUGGGACAUUAUUUGAUUGGUUGCCAUGUGUAAUGAAUUACUAGGGCGUAGAUGGUGACCACGACAACAUGGGCAUUGUCAAAUUGUUUGGACUAUUCAAUCAAGAUUCCUAAUCAAGACUAGAUCAACAGGUCUCAAAACUUUUCUUUUGUGUAAAGAGAAAACUUUGGAUUGAUCUUAAAAUUGUGAGGGCUGCAAUGGUCUGCCUUAGGGUUAAAUGUUUUCUUUCUUUUUCCUCUGUCCCCUAUUGCAACCAAGUGGAGCAUGUGAAUGAAGGAAAAGGUGAGAAAAAUAGGAGAAAGUAAAAGCAAAAAAACCUCCAAAGUUGAAUAGGAAAAGUUGCUUGAUUCCAUUCUGUUGAAUUAGACUGUUCAAAAUGUUGGGAUAGAACUGUCAAAACAAACUCCAUUUCAUUUCAUUUGCAUUCAUUCUGACUGUAAAGUUAUACAUGAUCCAGAUGUGCCAUCCAUUGUUAAACAAGUUACAGGUUCUUCCCUUUAGUUUCUUAAAUGAAUAAACAGUGGUUGUCAAAUAUCAAUGCCCUGGUCUACUCCAAUAUUGAAGCAGAGUCACACACUAACACUGGAAAGUGGAAACACCUUUUAUGCGACAUGGCUUGCUCAUUUGAAGAAUCGGGGGACCAACUCCUAAUGAGACUGUUUCAGAAGUGGGUGAUUUUAGUCAUUCAAAUGCUGUAAAUUGCCCAUUAGAUAAUGAAACUUAAUGCUUCUAAAUAUGAGCCAGAAAAGGGGGUCAGGAUGCAGAGUCAAAUAUUAAACUUAAAACCUUUACAGUUCAGUUUCGAAAUUAACAACUUAAAAUGUUGAAUUAACCCAUAAGGGCCACAACUUAUCUCAUGAACUAAAACUAUAAUUCGGGGUACCCAGAGGAAGUAGAGUUCAUGGGUAGAAAAAGAGAGAAUGAGACUCUUCCAUAUCCCCUGUGUAUCAAUGAGACUCCCUUUAGUGGGGACCCCUCUCUUUAGAAAGAGGUGUUGGCCUGUUGGGUGUUUGAACCUCAACUUUGUCCACACAUUCUCCUUAUUACAUAUUUGAUAGGUAAAAUACUAAUUUCAUGAACGUGUGUGGAGGAAAUGGGAGAGAUAGUUCAGUUUGUCAUGAAAUUCUAUUUGAUAGCAUUUGGAGAAGAAUGAGUCGAUGGUAACAAAGUGGGGUUUUUGGUUACUGAAACAAAUUCAUAUCAUAUGAUAAAAAAUGAAAGAGGGUGGCCUCAUAGGGUGAGAAAAGGCCAAAAAGAAAUAGCGUGAAUGCAGACUUCAUUCAUCUUUCAUCUGUAAAUGGGUGGCUUAUAAUUAGAGAGUCAUUAAACUUAGGCAGAGAGCCACAAAGCUGUUAUGAAAGCAACAUCAGCAAGACCACAGAGACAGAGACAGAGAGAGAUGAUGACAAAUUGCAUUGAUAGAGUCUCUGUCACACACACACAAGAUACACCCAGAAUUUCAGUGGAUAUUAAUCAUCUUGGAUCACGAGCUUGAUUGGUGACUUUCACGUUUUUAACAGACAUCGGUCAGAGCCUCCCUGCCAUUGUCCUUUUUCUAGGAUUGCAGCUCUGCAUGCCCUCCAUGUACUGUACCUAACCCUCUUAUCUCCCUCUCUCUACUUUCCCACCCUUCGUCUUCUUCUUUCUUCCUCUUCCUCUCUUUUUCUCCUUUUUUUUUCCUUUUUUUUUGUCAACUUUGUCAUUCACCUUUACAAUCACCUUCAUCUCUUAAAUUCCUACUAAAAUUUCAACUCAAAUUCAUGCUAUGAGCUGGGCAAGAUAUAAAAAAAGGACGAAAAAAAAUGUCCACUAAAAUUUAAGUGCAUAGAUGAAUGUGAAAACUUCGAACAGAUAGUCCUAUUCCAUUUGUUUCAUGGAUGGCGACACUUGAGCCACAAAUAAGGCUCUUCAUAAACAAUUUUUUUUUCAGUUUUUCAGGUUUAUAAUUUUUUCAUAUGUCACAUUCAAUGGUGGGUCUUCAGGCCCACUGCUUCUACUCAAGCAAUUCUAGUAUGAACCCAUUGCUAUAUUGAUGGCAACACAUAGCUAAACCCCACACAAUUAUUUCUUGAAUUUUCCAUAUAUUACUUGAAUUCUUCUCAAUUAGUAGUAUUGUUUUCUCUAAAUAAAAUAUUCAUCAUUCUCUACACAUAACACAUUGGUUCUUCUGCAGAUGGGUAUAUAGUAUAUUCAUAUACCAAUAUUUAAAAAAUUGUCCUAAAUUGACUGAUUGAAUUAUGUUGAUAGAUAGAAUCUUUUUCCAUUUUAAAUAAAGUUUCUAUCUUGUUUAAAUGUCAAUCUAAUCAUGAUUUGGCUUUCUCCUUAAGUGAGAACAAGAAAAGUUUGUUUUGAGCAUACUCAAUGCAACUAUUAAAGUGAGUCAUCAAGAAGCAUACAUCAAAUUCCAUUUAGGGAAUUACUAUCGUCAUUUCAUCAUCACAUAUCUUUAGAAUCGUCUGAAGGAACAUACUAUCUUAAACCCAUGAGAUAUCAUAGUGUCUGUAUUAAGAAUAUCUAUUGCCACCUACGUUGAUCAACAAUAACCCAAUUCAUAGAGAAUAUGUGACCACCUUGAUCAAUACAUAUUAUCUCUUCUUCGAAUUUCUCAUCGUUUAUAUUUUUCCAUUUCAAUACUUUCUAGUAAAAAAUAAAAAUUAUAUACAAGUAUGGAUGCAUCAACACUUUUUCAGUAGUUUAAUAAAUGUAACUCACAUGCAAAUAAAUUAACACCUCCCAACCAAAAUUUAUAAGAACAUUCAACUACUUAAAACACAUUUCCAAUUAUUCAAUAAUAUCAUAAUCAAUCCAAAAAUAUUAUCUAAGAUUUCCAAAGAAUAUUUGAACACAUAUCAAUUCAUUUUUUUCAACCAUCCAACAUGUAAGUAAUAAUGUGAAAUUAAGAUUAAUACACAUGGACAUAAAUAAAUUAGAAGAAAGAGAGAGAAAUAGACAAUAACACCCGGUUUUAACGUCAAAAAUCUCCUAAGAGAUAAAAAAUCAUGAACCUAUAAAUUAUCAAAUGCAUCUACUAUGAAAAGCAAGGACUUACCUAACUCAAGUCCACCAAUUUUUCAUAGGUUAUUUGACCAACACCUUUUCAUAUGAGCUACAUGUCUUCUUUGUAAGUAUGCUUGGAGUCCACACCACACCAAACUUGAUCUUAGCCUAUUCUUGAAGCUCAAUUAAGAAGAAAAAUGAGUUUUCACCUAAACCCAAACCAUUAAGAACACAAAAAAUGAAUGAAAGAAAUGAAUUAUCCCAUUUUUUAAGAAAAUCUAAUCCAAAUAUUGAUUUGGAAAUCAAAGUAUAGGAAAUUUCUAGAAAACUAAACAAUCCUAGUUUCGAUUGAAAAGAGAGCUCAAAGGGACUAAGAGAGAUAACUGCUGGUGAUAUUCAACCCUAAAAUAGAAAGUUUUGGCUUAAAUAAUGAUCGAAAAAUUAUCCAAGAGUACAUGGAUUGAUCCUACACAAAUCUAGAUACAUGUUGGAAUAAGAUACAAAAAUACUUAAUAAAAACACUAUUGCCCUAGUCUCCCCAAGCUUCUUAAAAAGAAAAAAUAAUCAAUAAUUUGAAAAACUCGAUUAAUUUGAUUUUAUCUUUAAUCUAUAAGCGCUUUGAAUGUUUUAAAGUUUUCCAUUAGACAAGUAGUUUAAGGGAGAAUUUCGAAGAUUCGAGUUAAGAGACAAUUAAGAAUUUUAUCCGAAAUUGUUAACCUAGUUAAAACACUCAUAGGUUUAUUUAAUCCAUUAAAAUAAUAAAAAAAUAUUCAUAUAUCUAGAAAACCCUAUUACACUAUAAAUUUAUUUAUUGCAUGGCAUCCCACUUAUCUAGAAACAAAAUCAAGGUUCGCCUAUACACCAUAUUAAUUGUAGCAAGGUACUUUGAUUUUAUAUUGUAGCCCUAAUUUUUCUAAGAAAUGGAGUUGGAAAUUUUCUUCUAAUUAAAGUUUCAUCAAUCAAACUUAUUCUCAAAUCAACACAACACUUUCACUUAACAUUAUUUCAAUUAACCUUUCAUUUAGGUUGAAUACAAGGGAUGAAAUCCAGUUCCUCUCACUUUCUUAGUUGUUAAAAGAAAAUGAAAUGUUGAGAUUGUAUGUGUAUUUCUCAUGGUUUUAAAAACCGAAUUGGAUCGGUCGGUCAAGAUUCUGGUUCGGUCCAACUAAUUUGAUCGGAAAGUAAUUAAACUGGUUGAAUCGACGAUCUGAUUGGCGAACCAAACAAACCGAUAGGUUCUUUUUGAACCAUUCAAUUCAACAUUUUUUUAUUUUUAUUUUUAUUUUUUUUCCAGCAUCAAAACGACGUUGUUUUGAUAUGUAUAAAAGAUCAUUUUCCUUCCUCCCCUCUCCUCCUCCUCUCUCCCCAAAAACGUUGCAAAGCCCCAUUACUGGCCAUUGGAGUGUCGUCUCAUUGGCAACACUCCCCCCCCCCCCCCCCCCCCUACCCCAAAACACAGUACCCCUUGUGUGCUCGCGUCGACACCUGCUCACCUUCCAUUUUUGUUUUUUAAAUUUAAAUUUUUUGUGUUUUAUAUUUAAUAUCUUAACAUUCAAUUUCUUAAUUUUUUGUUGAUUAUAAUUGUAAUGAUAUAUUUAAUAUUUAUUUAUGUUUUAUUUGUUACACAUUAAAAUUUUAAUUUAUUAAAAUUAUUGAAAAUAUUGGGUUGAUUGAUAUCUAUAGAUAAAAAAUUUUGUGAAAAAACCCAAUAAACAAAGUAUAUAUUAUCAAAAUUUAGAUAGAAUUUAUUAUUUUUUAAAAUUUUAAUAAUAAAAUAUAUAUUUCUGACAUCACUUGACCGCGGUUCGACCAGUAAACUGUGAAAUUGUAACUUUUUCGAUUUAAUAACCGAUCAAAUUCUAAAAACGUUAAUAUUUUAUUGAAGAAAUUCACCCUUAGAUACAAAUUAAAUAUAUAGUAUAAUUUUGGGCUAAGAACAAGAGAUAAACUCCUCAACUCCAUUUCGCUUAACAAUUUUAUAUAGAGCAGAAAAGAAAUUUUAGGAAAAAACAAACAAACAAUCUGAAAUUCCUCCUCAAUGUCUUAAAAAGGGUACAUUGCAUUGAAUCAGUAUCAUCAACUGCUUUUCUCUUUCUGAAAUUUGGUGCAGAGACUGAUACGGAUUGAGGAAGUUGAGAAUCACUGUGGGAAGCUGAAGCUGAUUGAGGUGAGGAGUUGUAGAGGUUGGUAAUAUCAGCAAGAGGCUUCCUGAAUCUUCUCCUGAUAGUUUUGGUGGAGAAUGGGGUGGUUUGCCCUGAAGAGAAAGGAGGGAUGUUCUCUUUGUUUUUGCAUUCACAAAGAGCCAUGGCCACUGUUUCUGAUGUUUGGAGGAGAGAUGAUGAAGUGGGGGUGGAGGGGAUUGAGGUAUUUGUAAAUGGCCAAAUGCAAUGCAAUGGGCUGUAUUUUGGAGGGAUGAUUUGAAGGUUCUCCUAAAUUGAGUUCUUCCACUUGGGUUUGGUCUGGAGAGGGACAAGUAUUUUCAUUGGUGCUUGGAUCUUGGUUUGAAUUUUGGGUUGUAGGUCAAAUUUUCAUUGGUGAGAGGGGCAAGAGGGAAGUUUUGAAUUUUCCCACUUCACAGCCAUUUGAAUUUGGGGUUUUGACUUUUGACUGUGUCCAUAUGAAAAAAAAUAAAAAAUUGGGCGCCAGUGGAGGGAGCCAAAACAUGUUAAAACUUGUUCAUUUGGCUGAACAAUUCCCCAGCUGUCCCACAUCGAAAAACAAUAUGAAAAAUGAAGUGUUUAAAUUGGCUUCAGUUUAGUUCACUGAAACGCCGGGCCAGGUAACGUGGGCUUGUGACUCAAGUGAGGGCAUGACUGUGGUUGAAGAUUGGCUUGGUUGGAGAGGUAGGGUUCGCUGGGUUUUGAGAUUCUGGCUUGCCCGUUCCAAGUGGGGAGUUUGAACCUUGUGUCCCAACCGAAGGGUUGGGGAACGUGGUUCCUAGAGUGGAGGGCACCGCGUGAGGCUGGGCUCACAGAGCAGCGUUCACCUCCCGCUCCCCUCGGUGGAAGGACAACGAGCCGGUACUCCACGGGCCCAACGAUACCUCCUCAGCCGCUCUCAACCCGACAACCACUUUUUACCUCUUUUGUUUUUCUUCAUUCCAGCCAGUGGGUCAUGGGUAAAUGGGGGCCAAAAUCAGUGACUGGGUUUAGUUUCUGAAAAUAGUUGGUGAGCCAUUUGAUUUGCACCCAGAAUAUCCUAUAGAUUUUUUGGAUAUAUUCAUCAAUGUCAUGACACCUUCUUCAGAUUAAAAUUGCAUGUAAAUUUACCAGUCCAUUCGACUUCUGUGGGGCAUGCAAAUGCCCUGUUAAUUCCAUGGAACUCUUCUCAGUAACAAGAGAUAAUUCUAGUCCACUUCAUGCCUACCAACUCUUGUUCAUCUACUCUUCAUUCAUUCAUGCAACUAAUGAGUUGAAGAAAUUUUUUUGUGGGGUUUGAAGUGCAUCCAGAGAAGCUUUGUCAGAUCAAAAUAAGGAAUUGCAGGAAGCAAACCUCUUGGAACAUGUUAUUCCUACAAAGAUGGAUUUUUCUCAGGUUUCAUGUGCAUGAGUUCCCCUCUUGCUUAAUCUUUGAUGGUGAGAUUGGAUCUCAAAGUGCAUUUCAAAGUGUGGGAAUAUUUGAAUUUAAAAUGUUUGUUUGGAAUGUGCUGAUAGAUUGAAGGGGUUAUUUGGAAUCCACAAGGGAACAAAAUCAUCCUUUAUACUUGGACCCUUCUAGGUUUUGAAGAUGAAUCAACUUUCUGCCAUCCUUCUGGUGGCCCAACUUCUAUUAUGAUUCCUGUUUUGUUGCGUUUGGAUUUGAGGCUUUAAAUGUUAUCAAAAGCAAAGUGACCAUUUGGCUUGUAUCCCUAAGUUUCUAACUAAGUUGGGGAUGUGGCAGUUCUCUUGCUGAUUCAUCUUCUGGGGCCUGUCAAUGUGUAAAGGGAUGUUUGGUAAGUCUUGUAUAUGUGACAUGUUUGUUGAUUUGAUCUCUGUUCUAUUGAAGGUAAGGUCUUUUCUGGAGCAUGAAGAAGCAGCUACAGAUGUCCUGACGGAAGCUUACACCCUUGUACCCUUGGGAAGCAAAUGUUCUCUAUCAGGUUAUAUCAAACUCAUUAAACCUGUUAUCCAUUUUCCUUUAGAAGGAAUUUACCAAUUUUCAGUGUUGGUAACUUCUUCACCCUUUUAAUGAUUCCCAUUGAACUGCUUCUUCUUUUAAAGCUAAUUUUGGUUGCAAUUCUGUGCUUAGUAUUUGGAACAGCCUCCUUGAGAGCUCUUCAUUUAGUUGAAGGCUUCCCUUUGUGGUAUUGCUGCUUUGUUUCAUUCAGAAUAUGGUUUAUCUGUUUUAUGGAGAAGAUUUUCCAGCAUUACCAUUUGCACUUUGCUAAAAGAAUACCAUUCAACCAUUGUUGAACUGAAACUAUCCAGAAAUUAGGAAUUGGUCAUUUUUAUAAACCCCGAAACAACAGUUCUCUGAAGUAGGUGCAAAGAAAAAAAAAGAAA
Molecule: long non-coding RNA, 12302 nt
Filed under: Vitis vinifera (wine grape)
Lineage: Eukaryota; Viridiplantae; Streptophyta; Magnoliopsida; Vitales; Vitaceae
Description: long non-coding RNA (VVIN_LNC003681)
Rfam family: Plant signal recognition particle RNA (bases 2-308)
Source: RNAcentral